UCACUUUGUGGACAAUUUUACAUUUGAAAGCAUUUCUUUGAAGAUGUUUGCCUUCAAAAUGGAGUGACCAGGAGUGUUUACUGACAGACAAUCUGUCCUGUGGCCAGAUAACUCCAGUGUGGUACGGGAGAUUGGGGAUGAUACCACUGUAUCCUGUGAAGGCAAGAUAUAAGUUGGCACUGCCCUGCUCCCUCAUAUUUGCUGGCUUACAUUUGCAAAGCCUGGAAGAUGGGAACAAAGGAGUUCCUGCUGAGAUCCAAAAGCCAGAAGCUGUCACUCCAAAAGAAGCUGACUUGACCACUUUGGACUUAUUUAUAAGUUUGUAAUGUCAUUGUUAGCUGUCGUCAGCUGAACAACACAACCUCCGACGACCCAUCACCACUGACAGCCCCUCCACCUCAUCCUCUCCCAUGAGCUUCCUGAUGGAUUUGUCAGAAACUGCGGGAAAUAAAAAUGGGGAGAAGGAAGAUGACCAUUUCUCUGGACAGGAAGGGAAAUCCCUGGCAUCUCUCCUGAGCUGUGCCCUCUCUCUCCAUGCUGGUGACCUAAUAGAGCCGCAAGUGACACGGGCUGACGUCACAAUGCAAUGCCCUGCAUCACAAGCACAUCUUCCCCAGGGCAGCGGCAGUGCCGGCACUUCUGUGCAAGGCCUGGGCGCUGCUGGAGCACUGCUCAGGGAUUCUGUCCUUCUGUAGCCAGGAGUCGGGUCAGGGGCAGCAAGGCUGUGCUAGGUGACCCUCGCUGACAUGUGGAGGAGCAGGGGCACCUCACAGAGAAUUGUUGGUUGAGGAGCCAGGAAGGGCAUCCUUUGUUCUGAGCUGAGGGCUGUCGGCAAGCAACAUGGAGGGCUGCUGGACUAUGACCAUCAGCUCGGAGCUGGUCUCCACCUUCCCAACACUCCUGCACCUCUCCACUGAAGAUAAGGCUUUCAGGACCCCCAUCCCAAGGCAACACAUGGGCCUGUUAGCUGUCAGAAGCCACAGCUCUGCUCUCUGAGGUUGGCUGGAUGUGGCAGGGGGCUGCUGCGAGAGCCCUGCCCAAGGGUCCCACUAGGCCCUGGGGACAAUGUGGCAGCCAGGCCCCGAUAGCAGAGCUGCCCAGAGCCCCCAGAUUCCUUUAGGCAUGGCUCGGUCCCCUGUGAUAGGGCAGUCCAAGGCCAGGUUUCCCUGGGAGCUGGUGCUUCUGUAGGAUCUGGCUCAGGGAUGAAAGACAUCCCAUGUCCCAGCAGCUUCCCCUGCUCGCAUUUCCCCUCUGGGCUCUCAGUAAGGCUGAAAUCAGGGCAAAGCCUGGCUCCAUAGCCAUAGUGGUGUUUUUCUGGGGUGUUUGCGUGUGCCUGUAUUGACCAUUCUCAUGGUGAGGAGCUUGCCAAGAGGUUGUGAAGAGGCUGGCCUGGAGCCUGACGUGUCUUUUCCUUCCUUUUGAGGGAUUGUGGCGGUCUGGGAUGCUGUGUCUUAUUACAUUCUAGAACAGCUGAAGAUGGACAAGGUGGGCUGGUGUCCUGGUGCCCCUCGCCCUGAGGGGCUCAGUCCUGCUGAGAGUCUUGGCCCUGCAGAGCAAUCCCUCCCCGGGUACCACGGCAGCACAGCGAGCCCAGCCCAGGUGCCCAGAGCAGCUUCUUGGCCAAGUGGGAGAGAAACUCACGUCCAGAGCUGCUCUGAGCAAAUGUUUGGCACACCCUAGCGUGUGACCCUUGGGGUUCACUCUGCCCUGUGGCCAGAAUGGGGAGAGCAAAUGGAGAAAUGGGGAUUUUUCUGGGUCCGUGCCAAGGACAAUCCUUGGUAACCAGUCCCAGGUUUAACCUCUGUGCUGUAAAUCCCCGGGCUUUUCUCUAGCCAAGGGAUGUUGGUGAUUGUAAAACAGAGACCCACAGCUCUUUUCCAGAGCAAAAGCUCCAGAGAGCCCCAUCUUGCCCCGCUGUCCCUCAGGAGUGGGGAGGGCAGAAGGCAGUGUCCCCAUGCUCUGACAUUCAUAACUUUUCCCACCUCUGCAGUACACACUCAUCAGCCUUUCUGUGUCUUCCCUGUGCAGGGAGUCCUGGUUGUGGGACUCGGGGCCUUUGCUGUGGUCCAAGAGCAGUUCCACAGCAAAGAAGGCGCUGUUACAGUUCAAAGACCUGUAUUCCCUCUGGACAUCGGUGUGCAGUGGCUGCAGGACCUCCAGUCUCCCACUGAGAUCAUCCCUGGUGAGAAGGCGGCAGCCACCUUCCCCCUUCUGGCACCACGUCCAGCAGGACGUGUUCUCCCCGCUCUCUGGAAAGGGCUGGGAGAAGCAGAGAACUGUCUGCCAAGGUCACGGUACAGCUUGAGUUCCUCCAAAAGAACCUGUGCCCGAAGAGCUGUUUCUCUAAAGGACCUUUUCUCUGGGAUUUGGUUAUGAAUGUUGCGUGGAAAUGUGGCUUGCUGUGGCAGGGAGGAUGUUCCCUCUCCUUGCAGACGGUGUCAAGAUGGAGCCGCUGAACUACCGGUGGCUAUCACAAGCCACUGCCUUCCUGCUGCACGUGGUGCAGCGCUGCGUGCAAGAGACCAUCGUCUUGUGCUGUCUCCUCCUGAGCAAGAAGGUGCACGUCCCAUUCACCUUCAAGGACAUCGGCGUUCUGACGUGUGAAGAUGACCUCCUUUGCCUGAGGAUCUAUUAUGACUGUGUUACAGUGCUGGAGGGCACUGCAAGCUGGGUUGCACUGCUCCACAGUGUAAGUUGAGGGGCUUUUGAGGGCUACCAUGUCUCUGGGAACCCUAUGGAAGAGUGUGCAGUCAGGUCACCGCUGGCCAGCCGGGAUGUGGCAGGCCACUCAAAUGCCUUUCCCCAUGCUCGCCCCCACUGCUUUCCAUAUUGGCAAAGGGAUUUCCUGGAUCCUUGCCCCUGCAGAAAGCCUGGCAGUGUUCUUGCACAGCCUCCAUAUUUUGCCGUGCAGCUCCUUCAGAGCAGAACAAAGAUCUGAUGUUCAUGGAAGAGGCUAUGGUGGAGGGUUUUGGAGAGACGCUAUCUUUUGGUGCAGGAGGCAGUUUUUCUUCCUGUCAAUGAGAGCUGUGAGAGAACUGCCUUGGAAAGCCUCCAGCAGGUCUGUGUUCCUUUGCGGAGAAUUUGGACUGAAUAUCCCGGGAACUUCAGCCCAAAGGCCACCACCCACGGGAUCCAGAUGUUCCUGAGGCCUGUGGGCCUGUGGGCCUGCAGUCCCCCUGUCACAGACACAGAUCCUUAGAUAACGCCGUGACACAAAGGAUGGAGCUCACCCGCAAGGCUGGGCUAGAAGGCACCGUGUUUCUUUCGAAACUGCUCCUGCUCUUUGAAGAAUGAGAAGCUCUCUUCAGAAGGAAAACGAAGAAUAGACGCCUGCUCCCCGAUCUCCCUGGGACCGUUUGCUCUCUCUCCCAGCCUCUUCAGGUGGCCAUAUCUAAGAGGGCAUGGCUGUUCCGGGGGUGUCUUCUGCCCUAAAAGCAUCCAGCCAAACUCAGGGCUGAAGAGGAAUCCAAAGGCCAAGCACCAGACCUGGGCCAAGUAAAGGCAGUGAAUCUCUGUGAUGUGUUUCUCUUCUUGUGCAGUCACCUUUGUAUUUUCCUUAGGUGGCUGCUGUGGUACUUGCUUGCUUUGGUCAACAGUGUCGUUAAUGGAAUACAAACUUUCAUGAUUCCUGCUGU
This is a long non-coding RNA of Numida meleagris (helmeted guineafowl), 3635 nucleotides long. RefSeq lists it as uncharacterized. Lineage: Eukaryota; Metazoa; Chordata; Aves; Galliformes; Numididae. The record is from RefSeq and is a predicted model, not a curated record. The transcript has 2 exons.